This 200-nucleotide microRNA precursor is filed under the name Oryza sativa Indica Group (long-grained rice). RNAcentral describes it as "MIR812 microRNA precursor family". It matches the Rfam family "MIR812 microRNA precursor family". The record is from Rfam by way of RNAcentral. Lineage: Eukaryota; Viridiplantae; Streptophyta; Magnoliopsida; Poales; Poaceae.
UAUAAGGGAUUUUGAGUUUUUGUUUGCAACGUUUGACCACUCGUCUUAUUCAAAAUUUUUUAAAAUUAUUAUUUAUUUUAUUUAUGAUUUACUUUAUUAUCUACGGUACUUUAAGCAAAACUUUUCGUUUUUAUCUUUAGAAAAAAAAUUAAAUAAGACGAGUGGUCAAACGUUGCAAGAAAAACUUAAAAUCCCUUAUA